UAAAUGAAAAAUACACUACAUGGGAAUUAUAGCAUAUUCCACACUGAGAACAAAAAUACCAGUGAAAUUGAAGGCAUAGCAAUGGGAAAAGAAAGCAUGAUGAAUUAAAAAAUAAAGUCUCAGGAGUUCCCGUCAUGGCGCAGUGGUUAACGAAUCCGACUAGGAACCAUGAGGUUGAGGGUUGGGGAUCCGGCAUCGCCGUGAGCUGUGGUGUAGGUUGCAGACACGGCUCAGAUCCGGUGUUGCUGUGGCUCUGGUGUAGGCCGGUGGCUACAGCUCCGAUUGGACCCCUAGCCUUGGAAUCUCCACAUGCCGCGGGAGUGGCCCAAGAAAUAGCAAAAAGACAAAAAAAAAAUAAAUAAAAUAAAAUUUAAAAAAUAAAUAAAUAAAUAAAUAAAAAUAAAGUCUCAGUGACUUGUUGGGUAACAGUAUCCAGUAGUAUAAUACAUGUUUAAUUGGAGGCCAAAAUGGGGAGUUAAACAACACUUGAAAAAAUUGUAAUUUUUUUCCAAAUUUGAUGAAAACAAUAAAGCUCCAAAGCUGAGUAAAUAUUUUAAAAGACACAGAAAAAUGCAUAUCAUAGUAAAAUUGCAGAAAAUCAGUGAAAUAUAAGAUGUUAAAACCAGCCAGGAGUGUAACAUUAUUUAAUGAGAGAAAAGAAAAAAAAAAGUGUUAAUAAUUACUUCAGACUUCUAUCAGAAACUAUGAAAACCCAAAGAAAAUGAAGAAAAUGAAGUGAUGUUUUGAUGGUGCUGAAAAAAAAAAUACUAAAAAUGUCAAAACAGUCAUCUAUACUCAGUGUAAGUAUCUUUUAGUAAUGAGUUUUUCAGACCUAAAACAUUAUAAGACAUGCUGAAGGAAGUUCUUUAUGUGAAAGGUAAUGACACUAAAUAGAAAUUCAUAUCUGUACAAAUAAAUGAAGAAAAUCAGGAAUGGUAAAUAUGUGAAUAAGGAUGAGAUAUACUUUCCUAAUUUGUAAAUUUCUUUUAAAAAUAUUUUCUGGAGUGAAAGCAAUAACAAUGUAUUAUAGAACCUAGAACUUAAAGAAUGGUGAGCUGAAAUAGAGUAUCUUGUUAUGAGGUUCUUAAGCUGUAUGUCAGUAAUGUAGUAUUUAGGUCUUUACUAGUUCAGCAGUUUAAGAAUGAUUGUAAUAAGGUACUGAGGUAUAUUGUAAAUAUUAAAGCAAAGUAAUCAAGUAGAAGAGAUAACAUGGAAUACUAAUAAAUUAAGCUCAAUUGAUCUCACGUUACCAUUAAUUUACAUGGAUUAACCAAAAUAAAGACAGUUAAUCAUUGAUAUAUAAAUCAUUGAUAAACAACUUAAUGGAAUAGGAAUUCCCUGGUGGCUCAGUGGGUUAAGGAUCUGGUAUUGUCAGUGCUGUGACUUGGGUUGCUGCUGGGGUGCAGGUUUGAGCCCUGGCCCCGGAACUUCUGCAUGCUGCAAGUGUGGCAAAGAAAUAAAAAAAUAAAUUAAUGGAAUAAAACAGUCAAGAGAUGGAUCAAAACAUACAUGUUCAAUUGCCAAGGUAAUUAAAUAGACUAGAGAAGAAUCUUUUCAGCAAAUGGUGCUGGAACUGAAUCAUUCAUAAGGGAAAAAUGAACCUCGCACUAUACACAAAAAUUAACUAAGUUUGCAUCAUGGACAUAAAAAUAUGUCCACAAAUUACAAACCACAGAAAGGAAACAGAAAAAAUUUAUGACCUUGAGUUAGACAAGAUUUCUUAGAUCACAGAAAAGAAUCAUAGACUUAUGUGCCGGGGGGCUCUAUCUAUCAAAGUUCUAGAAGGAAAUCUUUGUGACCUCGGAUUGGAUAAGAUUUCUUAGGUCUCACACAGAGAGCAUGCACAUAAAAGCAAACAUGAUGUUAAACUACAUAAAAUUAAGAAGUUUUGCUUUCCAAAGAAAAACAUUAAGGCAAUGAAAAGGCCAGAUGCAGAAUGGGAGGGAAUAUUUACAAAGCAUUUAUCUGAUAAAGGAUGUGAAUCCAGAGUAGGUAAAGAACCCUUACAAUUCAAUAACUGAAUGCCCAACAACUGACUAGAAAAAAGCAAGCAAAAGAAAUAAAUAUUCCCCAAAUGAAGAUUUAUGAAUGAUCAGUAAACAUAAGAUGCUCAGCAUUGUUAGCUAAGAGUGUAACACAAAACUACAAUGAGUCACUGCAGUGGCUUGGGUUGGUGCUGUGGUGAGGGUUUGAUCCUUGGCCAAGGAACUUUCCCAUCCUGUGGGUGUGGCCAGACAAAACAAAACAAAACACCUAUAAUGAAAUGCCUCUGUACAUAUUCUGGAACUAAAAUUAAUAAGGCUAACCUUAAAUAGACCGAAAAUACUAAGUGCUGGUGUUGAUGUGGAGCAACUGGAAAUAUCAUACAAUGCUGAUGAUUAUGUCAAGUGAUACAGCCACUCAGGAAAACAGUUUGGAAAUUUACUAUCAAGUUCAGUGGCCUCAGUGAGCCUAACGUUAAAGAAGCUUUCUCAUCCACGGUGCAGCUUACUAUGCAUUUGUAUUUUUAUCCACCUAUUCACUUAAAUAAUUAUGUAAGGAAGGAUCUUGCUAUUAGGGCCACUUAUAACUACAACAUGACAAACACAACUUGGUACUAGAGAACUUAGAGUUUAGUUGGUUGGCUAGUGAAUUGGGCUAAUAGAUUACAGUGUGCAGAAGGGUCCCUAGGGGACCAUGUAGAGAUAUCAUUGAUGCAGAUUUAUGGGAUAAGAGAAGGCUUUUCAAAAGUAAAGAUAGCCAACCUAAAGCCCAUCUGGCUACCAUCUUUCUGUGCUUCAGCCCAUGUAGCUUCUCAGAUUUGUGCCGGACGAUACCCUAAAGUGAAGGGAUCAGAACUUCACCACAAAAUGAUUUCCUCUCUAGUGAGAUGAAGGCAGGAACAUGGACAGUGGUAUGAACCAUGGGCUUUAUCACAAGACUAGACACAUUUGAGCCUUGGCUGCCAUAUCUUGUUUACCUGUAUAUACUUAACCUUCCAGACUAAUUGAAUGAAGCAGAGAACUGCUCUCUGAAUAGUCUACUGAAUGAAUAAUGAGAAGAUUGCUGGGCAGUGCAUGAAUCAGGAAUUAAAUCCAAUGGUGAUGAGGUAUACCGGGUUAUCUGGGGACUCUGGGUCUGUGAGUAAAUAGUUACUGCCACUAUUUACAAUGAAACCUAGCUGGCUUGUUGGUAGCAUCAUAUAUGACAGGAUACCUUUGGAGUGCUAGAUUUUUAGGUAAAAUUCGGAGUGACCUACCUCUGCUCUUACUAUGCAUAUUCUUCAUAAGUAAAUAAAUACUAAGCCUGGAGAAAAGCUUUCUAACACUGUUUAAAGCUCUGUAGUGGUAGAGAAGCCCAGCUCUCUCAGACUAUUCUUACCAGACUAAAAAUUCCUUGAUAUUUAUAUAUAUUUUCUAUGAAUACAGAAUAUGGAUAUUACUUUAAACAAGUUGGUUCAUAGAUAUAGUCAAGUAACAGAAGAGUUCUUAUUCACAGAAAUUGAUUUAAAAAUAACAUCUCUGAUCAUUGCAAUCUGAAAUCAAUGUUAUUCAGAUUGUGUUAACUGAAAAAAAAUGUAUUAUUUGGUCUCUAAGAAAAAAUGAGUCUUAUUUCUUCAAAACUGGCUAAAUAACCUAAGGUACCGAGGUCAUAGAAAUGAAAACAAGGCAUUUGAUAUACUUUUCCUUUUUUUGUAAAAUGUAAAUCUCUUUCUGUUCUCUCACAGCUGCUUCUUUUUUUUUUUUUCAUUUUUAUCUUUCUGUUUUUCUUAAUUCAUAUACUUUUAGUUUCCAUUUUGCUUUGGUCUUAUUACCUAGGCUGUGAAGUUUUCAUAUUCUCUGUUGAAAUCAAUGGUUCCCAAACUUGAGUGUAUAUUACAAUCACUUAGAAGGCUUGGUAAACAGAGACAACUGGGCGACAACUCCAAGGUCUCGGAUUCAGAGGAGGAGGGAUGGAUGUGAAAAUCUAAAUUUGUAAGUUCCCAGGUGAGGCUAAUGCCUUUGGUCCUGUGACCACAGUUUGAGAACCACUGACUUAUAAAUUAUCCUUCUGGUAGCAGCCAAAGGAGGUUGUGAAUGUUCCAAGAUGAGCUAAAAAGGGAGUUUAAGUGGUCUGGAAGCCUCUCUGCAAGAGAACCAGGCAAUAAAUCUCCUGUCUCCAGAUUAGUUGCCAAUAUUGUUUUUAACCUUGAGAUUGGAGACGCUUUAAAAUCUUUUUAUAGCAGUUCCAAUAGAUGAUAAUCUCAGAAAGUGUGUCAUUGUGAAACUUUUAUCAUUGUUGCCUGGUAAGUUAUUUUUCUCGGUUUGCAUAAUCACCUUGUAAUCUUUAAGCUCUGCUGAAUAUUUUCUACUGAAAACUUAAAGCUGAUCAUAUCAAGGGGCUCAGCUGCAGAAAAUGAAAAGGAUUAUGUCUUUGUUGAAUAGGUUGAGAAUGAGGAGGAAUCAGUUAACAUAAAUAAAAAAAAAAACAAAAAAAAAUGCAGAGAUCUAUACUGUCUGUACUUUUGGCAUUUCACAGGGUUGAGACACCAUAUCUUGAGUUGCAGGCAUGGUGGUUAAACCCUUUCCAUAUGUUUUGCCAAAGCUAAACAUAACAACGUUAAUAAAUAAAAGCCCUCUGAAAAACCAGGAUCUUCUUUUAAAAUUUCCGUUAAGCUUCAAAACAUCACUUUUUUUCUGUUUUUUCUUCACACCCAUCUUUAUCUUUCUCCCUUUGACGUUCCUCAAUUUCAUUAUGUUUAUGGACUUGCCAUCCAGUCUUUUUCUUAUUCAUGCUUGAUUGUUUGUUUGUUUGUUUGUUUUUCCUUUAUAGUGAAGUUGGUUUCCCUCUUUUUCGAAACUCAUUUUAAGCUUCCAGAUUACAUCUUACUCCUAUGGGGUUUUCAUCUAAUACCUGAAGGCAGUACUGUGCAUUUUGUGUAGUGCAUUGAUAGCUGGAAACAAUUGGGUCCCUAUUAGCCAAUUAACCCUGGCAAGAUACAGACUGUUGCCCAAGCUCUGAGGCCUUUUGAUCCUGACACUUGGCACAUACCAUUUGGACUUAACAGAAUUCUUUGCUUCUUCCCCAGCUGUCUCAUAGUUUUUGUUGAACAGGCCAGGGGACAUAGACGAUGGGGAACAUGGGUGAGGAAGAGGAGACAUUGGAAGAGAUAUAAGCUGUUCACCAGAAUCUUAAGAUGCUUUGCUUACCAUUAAAAGGAAAGCCACUUAAAAUUAAGGUUUGCUCUUUGUUCUCUUGUUCAUUUCGACUCCUUGUUAACCUAAAAUUCAGGUCAACAACUAGAGAGGACCAUGUCGCAAAUACUUGAAUGUUUUUGACCGUGUGCUUAGGAAAGGGUAGUUAAUGCAUACCAACCAUACCAACCAACGUAUGCAUUAAACCUUGGGCCCUCUUCAGAGCCCUUCAGGUAAGUCAAUGGGAGCUUUGUGUCAACACGUUGGGAAGAACUGGGCUCGCUGUGUUUGCUUCUUUGCCUUCAGUUACCUGCGUUUGGAUUUUAACCUCCUGAACUAAACCUUUGUGAGUUGUUAUGGCUAGAUUAGCCUCUCAUUCUAUUCCUUCUUCCUCUUCUUUGGGACAACUUGAUCAUUUUUAUUUUGAGAGAAUUCAAAUUGGUAAGUGGUCCCACUCCCAGAUAAGGUAUUAAGGAUUAAUAAAUGCUGAGACUGGCACUGUUUUGGCAGAUGUUCAUAGAUUAGUAACAUGAAAAGAAUGAGAGAAAAAUGAGAUCGGAGAAGAGUUAGUUUUAAUGUAGAGUAGUGGCCCUUUUAUAGGCUCAGUGGACAGUUUUAGGCCAAAGAGUUUUAGAAACCCAUUUUCAAUUCUAAUUAAUCACAUAUGUUUUAUAUUCACAUGUUGCAUGAAGAUAUUGUUCUGUUAGAGACAUUACCGUUCAGAAAUCUUUGUGUAGACAUUCUUUCCUCCCUCAGAUUUUUUUUCCUUUUAUGAUUUCUUUCUUUUUUCUUUUCUUUUUCUUUCUUUUUUUUUUUUGCCAUGAGGAAGUUUUGUUUGGCCUUGAGUAAAUGAAACUUAGAGCCCAAAAUGUUCAGUUAAAUUGAGCUUGAAACUGAAAACCCAUGACACUCUAGUGAGUGUAGAGCAAGAAAGUGUAUUUGCUUUACCCCAGUGGAAUCAUCUGACUUUUCUAGUUCUGUUUCCUCUUUGCUUUCAUAACCAGAAGAUUUAAAAAAAAAAAAA
This 6177-nucleotide long non-coding RNA is filed under the name Sus scrofa (pig). RNAcentral's name for it is "lncRNA (ENSSSCG00025015853.1)". The record is from RNAcentral. Lineage: Eukaryota; Metazoa; Chordata; Mammalia; Artiodactyla; Suidae.